GACGAACUGUCCAAACGUUGUUCGGAAUCACUGGGCUUAAAGGGCGCGUAGGCGGUCGGCCAAGUCAGGGGUGAAAUCCUGCAGCUUAACUGUAGAAGUGCCUUUGAUACUGGUCGUCUCGAGGGAGGUAGGGGUGUGUGGAACUCACAGUGGAGCGGUGAAAUGCGUUGAUAUUGUGAGGAACGCCGGAGGCGAAAGCGACGCACUGGACCUCUUCUAACGCUGAGGCGCGAAAGCCAGGGGAGCAAACGGG
RNAcentral lists this ribosomal RNA (253 nucleotides) under uncultured bacterium. Its description in RNAcentral is "partial 16S ribosomal RNA". It matches the Rfam family "Bacterial small subunit ribosomal RNA", at positions 524 to 776 of the family's 1533-position model. The record is from RNAcentral.